RNAcentral lists this ribosomal RNA (901 nucleotides) under uncultured Dehalococcoides sp. Its description in RNAcentral is "bacterial SSU rRNA". It matches the Rfam family "Bacterial small subunit ribosomal RNA", at positions 91 to 1006 of the family's 1533-position model. The record is from RNAcentral. Lineage: Bacteria; Bacillati; Chloroflexota; Dehalococcoidia; Dehalococcoidales; Dehalococcoidaceae.
GAUAGUGGCGAACGGGUGAGUAACGCGUAAGUAACCUACCUCUAAGUGGGGGAUAGCUUCGGGAAACUGAAGGUAAUACCGCAUGUGGUGGGCCGACAUAUGUUGGUUCACUAAAGCCGUAAGGCGCUUGGUGAGGGGCUUGCGUCCGAUUAGCUAGUUGGUGGGGUAAUGGCCUACCAAGGCUUCGAUCGGUAGCUGGUCUGAGAGGAUGAUCAGCCACACUGGGACUGAGACACGGCCCAGACUCCUACGGGAGGCAGCAGCAAGGAAUCUUGGGCAAUGGGCGAAAGCCUGACCCAGCAACGCCGCGUGAGGGAUGAAGGCUUUCGGGUUGUAAACCUCUUUUCAUAGGGAAGAAUAAUGACGGUACCUGUGGAAUAAGCUUCGGCUAACUACGUGCCAGCAGCCGCGGUAAUACGUAGGAAGCAAGCGUUAUCCGGAUUUAUUGGGCGUAAAGUGAGCGUAGGUGGUCUUUCAAGUUGGAUGUGAAAUUUCCCGGCUUAACCGGGACGAGUCAUUCAAUACUGUUGGACUAGAGUACAGCAGGAGAAAACGGAAUUCCCGGUGUAGUGGUAAAAUGCGUAGAUAUCGGGAGGAACACCAGAGGCGAAGGCGGUUUUCUAGGUUGUCACUGACACUGAGGCUCGAAAGCGUGGGGAGCGAACAGAAUUAGAUACUCUGGUAGUCCACGCCUUAAACUAUGGACACUAGGUAUAGGGAGUAUCGACCCUCUCUGUGCCGAAGCUAACGCUUUAAGUGUCCCGCCUGGGGAGUACGGUCGCAAGGCUAAAACUCAAAGGAAUUGACGGGGGCCCGCACAAGCAGCGGAGCGUGUGGUUUAAUUCGAUGCUACACGAAGAACCUUACCAAGAUUUGACAUGCAUGUAGUAGUGAACUGAAA